RNAcentral lists this long non-coding RNA (599 nucleotides) under Homo sapiens (human). Its description in RNAcentral is "non-protein coding lnc-SLC22A23-8:2". The record is from RNAcentral. Lineage: Eukaryota; Metazoa; Chordata; Mammalia; Primates; Hominidae.
UAGAGAAUACGUUUUUAAUUGACUAAGAAUGAUCUUGUUCUCCUGCCCCUGUGAUUCUAAGCUUAUAUUGUAUCGGCAUUGACCACAUCUCCAUAACUUUGGAGGCUGGCAGAGAAUACCCCACUGGACGAGAUCGCACCUCUGCACUCCAGCCUGGGCGACAGAGUGAGACUCCGUCUCAAAAAAAGAAAAAAAAGAAAAGUAAACUAAGCAUUUUGAUUUCUCUAGACAAACUCGUAAACUUUCUUAAAACACUACGAGAUGUUUUCGCAACUUUUUUUUUUUUUUAGUUCAUCAACUAUCAUUAGUGUUAGUGUAUUUUGUGUGUGGCCCAAGAUAAUUCUCCUUGUUCCAGUGUGACCCAGGGAAGCCAAAAGGUUGGACAUCCUUGAAGUAAUGAAAGUUGAUACCAUGGCUGCUUUAUGGCAGAAGUCAGAAAUUGCCUCCCUCCAUUGAUGUGCUCGUUAGUAUUGGAAAGGCAAAUCAAGAAGUUAGGAGAGGCUGCCUUCACACAGCCUUUCAAAUAUAUGAAGUGUUAUGGAAUUACAGCGUUAGAUAAUAUUUUACCUGAAGUUCCAAAAGAGUUUUCUUCCUAUUUA